RNAcentral lists this long non-coding RNA (4459 nucleotides) under Podarcis lilfordi (Lilford's wall lizard). The record is from RNAcentral. Lineage: Eukaryota; Metazoa; Chordata; Lepidosauria; Squamata; Lacertidae.
AUAACUCGAGCAUCAGUGCUUUACCAAGUGUUUUGCUCAGGUAUGUGCAGAAAAUCCAGGAUCGCUAGAGAAUCUUCGCCACCUCUUACCAUAGACCAUCUUGUGUGUGUCUCUAAUACAUGCACAAACUGGUACAUAUACAACGGAGUAGCAAUCAGGUGGAGAGUAACUAGAGAUAUUAAAGCGUUUGUGCAGUAUUGGCGGUGGGGUGGGUGUGGAUGGACCUGUGGCCUUCCUGAUGCUGUUGGACUCCCAACUUUCAGCAAGAAGGAAAUCAUAAUGCAGUGCAAGGAAAGCAGUUUACCAGCCUAUUGGGUGCUGCUCAUACCAACAUAAAAAUGGGUGCUGGGUCUGAUGUGGAGCUGCGAGAACCAGAUUCAGCUCACUUUGGGUGACUUUGAGCAGAGCUGCUAUAUAUGCUGAUUGCCUCAUGUAAGGAAGAUACAUGUAUGAUGUAACACUGUCGCCUGUGAGCCAGGUGCUCCCCAGCCAAGCUGUUCAACAGUUGGAACACCCACAUACACUAUGACAUCAUUGCAUCCAAAGAUUUUGGCUGUGUAAAGUCUGUCUCCCCCUCUCCAUCUGAAGAACAUAGCAAGUGUCCUACUGGGCAGUGAGAGCUCACACUGGAAGUUGUGUGUAAGGCAGAGGUGACUGUCAGGUUUGAUAUGAAGGAGUGGGCUGCAAACAUUAAGAUGGGGCUAGAGAGAAAUUGUGGGCUGCUGACUGGCUAUCCCUCUUGUAUGAAGAAUAGUUCAGGUGUUUCCUCUUCUAUGGGUACAUAGGCUGACCAGCUAAUACACAUAUUUUCAUGCCUACAAUGGAAAAACUGCCAACUCAAAUAUUAUUAAACAAUUAUCACAAUAUGAACUUCAAUUUUGGACUAUAUAUAUCAAUAUAACUCCCAGCCCUGCACAGAGAUUGUCUCCACAUUAAGUAAAGUGACAGAUGAAAUGUUUCUUGCAGCCUAAGUAGGUUGCAAGCUUAAAUAACAUUUUAAAAAAAUGUUUGAAUGUGCUAUAGAAACAAUUAGCCAUCAUCUCAGGGUUAAGCUUAAUAAAUUUACUGCCGUGCUAUGUUUUAAAGCCCUAUAGGAAUCAGGGCAACUAACAGCAGCCUCCACCCAGGCUGUCCUUAUCUUUGUCACAGCUUCUACCUAAGUCUCUGUGACUCUCCUUAAACUCAGCCCCGUAUCUGCCAACUUUAAAAAAGCAUGAGUCAGAUUACUUCAAACCGUGAGAUUUAGAUUUAUGUCACACACGUUCCCCUUUUUAAAGAUAAAUGAGGUUCUAUUUUUUCCUUGGUUUAUGACCAUGGCACAUGCUGCAGGCAUGUUCUCUUUGUAACUAUGAAAAGUGGAUUUUUUCCCUUUUAAAAAUGUAAGAUUCUCAUCCCUCAGUUCCAGGAUCUCAGAGGUUCUGAAACCUCACGACUCUGCAUGUAAAAUGGGAAGAGUCAGAAUACUAUGUCUGUGGUGGAAAAGUACUGUGCCAAAAUACGUUUGGAGAGGCUUGGGUUAGGUCAUCCUUGCUUCAGAGGUGAGGAUGCUAGGCAGAGGAUCAGUGGCAGUGUUUGUGCCAUGGGGGUAUUUAUUUGUUGCAUGAGUGUCUCAGCUUUUCUGCAAGGAGCUCAGGGUGGUGUACAUGAGCUUCUCCCUCAUUAUAUCCUCACAACAAGCCUGUGAUUGUAGUUUAAGCUGAAAGUUGGUGAUUGGGCCAGGGUCAACCUGUGAACUUGGGUGAGCAAAGAUUUGAACUUGGGUCUCCCUAGUCCAAAAACCAUCAGUCUGCAUGCUACAUUGCAGGACAGGAUGCUUGUUCCCUUGCUGGUUUCAUUUUUCCUAAAGUGAUGAAUCUGCUGUCUAACCUCAUGCCGUCACGUACCAUGGUGGCAUCUGAGCAACCUUUCACCCCAUUCCAUCUGUUUCCUCUUUGUCCUGAUUUAUCCUCUUUUCGUUUCUUCCUCUCUGUGCUUUCCUGAGAGUCCUAUCUGUGAUCAGCAUGUUCAGGUUUGCAGGAAGCAGGACAGACGGGUACCCAGGUGAGAUUGCCACUGAUAAUGCAGAAUAAGAAGGAUGUGAGACAGGAGGGAGAGGUGACCUUGUGUUAAGUUAAUCAAGUCUGAGUGGAAAGUGGCCAAUCGCGUAAGAGCAGAUAAAGCAGGGCUAGUGGAGGAGUCUGAGGAGAUGAUGGAAUAGACAUGAAAAUGUUCGUAGUCUGUGAGGCAUUAUUGCACCCAGUUGUUUUGUUUUAUUUUUACAGCAACUACAUCUGAGUUGGAGUAUUAUUGGUUUUCAUUACUGCAUGAUAUGAUUCUGUUGCAAGGGAAGGCGUUUCCAAAAACUGAAGGUGCUUACUUACCAAUAGUACUAAAUAUUUAUACACACACAGUACAACUUAAUUACCAUGGAUGCCAUUUCACUAGUUAGUUAAGCUAGUUCUAGAACAAUUAUUUCUGUCCAUAUGCAGAAGCAGAAAAUGGCUACUCUGGAAAGCAGCAACCCUGCUCCUAGUUACACACAUGUAAUUCUGAUUGAAACUGGUGGAACGUGAUGAAGGCGUGAAGGGCUGCAGACUAAGGGUUUGCACUAGUGGCAGGAGUAAAAUAUCAAAAGAACUCUUUCAGUGCCACCGAGGAUCUUGUGUCAGAAAUGUAGAGAGAAGAUAUGCUAGUAGUACACAUUUUAUUUUUCUUAGUCCAGUUGCUGCUGAACAAUCAUUAGUUUACAGAGCAUGGAAACCACUCUUUGGGAUCAGGGAUAGAGAAUCAUAUCAGAGGUUCAGAAGAGGUUUGCUAGGAAGAGAUGGUUGGCCUUGCUGCUUAUAUAGGAGAGCGGAGAACUGUAUCCAAUUAACGUUAUGAGCAUAUGGAAAUUAUAUGCAUUCAUUGUGAAGAGCAGACAUGAAAAAAAAUCCCAUUGUGUUGUUGUCAAGACACCUAAAGUUUGAUGACCUAGGUGAGAAGAAGCAGAGUCACAAGGCAUGGCAAUUACUCUGAAGCAGUGUUCUUAAAACCCUCAUAACUGAGCUGUGUAGAACCUUGAUUUUGUGUUGGCACAAUGGUAUGCAGAUGUCCUGCAUGUGACAGUGAGUGUGAUCUGAGAGAGGUUGGCCAAGCUAUGCUCCAAGCUCUUUCUGGGGACACACAUGGAACGAAGUAUAGACCUUAUGAGAUUCAUUCAUUCAUUCAUUUUACAUUUAUAUCCUGCCUUUCCAUGAAAGGCAAACUCAAUGUGGCUUUACAAAAUAGACAUUUAGAACAUAAAACAAGUUAAAAUGCCACCACCAUCAUAAAAAUACACAAAUUUGCAGCGGUAACAGCAUCAUAAAACACAUUCAGCAAGCAGCAAAUAAAACACAUAGUCAGAGACUCUGAGUAAAAAAUGCCCACAGGAAUAGAAUUGGUCUUAAUAGCUCAUUUAAGAAAAGGCAAAGUGUUCAUGUCAGAGACACCUCUUUUGAGGAAGCUAUUCCAUCUCUUAGACACUUCAACUGAAACGUGGUCUCGCUUUCAUUCCAGUCAACUGUUUUCAUUGGCAAAGGGGCCCUGGAAGCUGAACACAGAUCAGAUCACAUGACAGGAUAUGAUGUUUGAGGAACCCCUGCUCUCUCAGACCAAAAGCAACACUUUGAAUUGAGCCCAGAGUUGAAUUUUGGCAUACUUGGACUGUCUUCAAGAGUAGCCCUGCAUAGCAUGCAUUGCAGUAGUCCAACCAGGCUGUGGCAUAAAUGACCAAGGCUAGAUCUAAUUUCUCCAGAAAAGGACAUAGCUGGCAAGUCAGUUGUAGUUGGGUAUCAGUGACUACUAGCCAUGAUGGCUGUGUUUUGCCCCCAAAGUGGGAGGUUGUAAUGCUUCUAAAUACCAAUUGCUGGAAAUGGAUAGUGCUCUUGUGCUCGAGUCUAGUUUGCGUGCUUCCCACAUGCAUCCAGUUGGCCACUGUGAAAACAGAAGGCUAGACUAGAUAGGCCACAGGCCUGAUCCAGCAGGCUCUUAUGUUAUUAUGAAAAAUGCAAUCUUUUCCACCACUUCAAGUUGUGCAUCCAUAAACACAAUUAGAUCCAGGAGUUCCUUCCACUCCCCAAGCUGUAAAUGUUUUGCUUCAGGGGGAGUGCAACUCCACCCAAUGCUGCCUGAACAUCACUUCUAAGAUAAUCAGGACCACCAGCCAGCUGUAGCCAACCUAUUGUGGCAAAAGGGUUGUAAUUUCAUAGUUUGGAGGAAAAACAGACCAGUCAACUGCUGACAAAACAUUAAGGUCUGGGAGGACUUGGCAACAAUCCAGGAGAGGUCCAUCAUCAGGCCCCCCUGUUCCUUCUGUUGCAGCCUUUGUACCAGUAUAUUUAAAACCAAGAGGAAUGUCGACAGAAGAGGCUUUAGUGGCUGCAUUAUAUAAGAUAAAUUACUCAUUGGAUCGGCUUAACAGGAAAAUGGACACGAUAAAUGCAAAAGUGGAUGUUUC